UGUCUCCCUACUCAGACAUUGCAUGCAUCAACCAAUGGUUGCAUGGCAAUACAUCAACAUCGACUGACAGAUUGCUUUAACAUUUGAUGCGGUUAGCUGAUACGUAAAAUACCUAUCCAGGCGAGGUAAGAUCUGGCAGGCGUCAGAUGAAAUUAACAAAAAGCCACUCACUUAUUUUGUGUGUAAAACCUAUCCUCCUCUAAUAAGCUGCUGGAGCAAAACAACAAGCCCAUCCCUCCCCCUGUGUCAUCGAUGGCCAGCCAGCGUACAUGAUGAGACGUCUCCUGAGGGUUCGACCACGAGGCAGGGGUUUCCCGUACCUGGUUGAUGGUCCGGAGGAGAAGUGCUUGGUUCCCGCUAAAGACAUCUUGGACCCGGCCCUCAUCGCCGACUUUCACCGCCGGCACCCCAGUCAACCAGGCCCACUUUCACUAUGUGCUGGGGAAGUUGUUCUAUGCUUAGCUGACAGAGACAGGAGAUACAAGAGCCCACUGUGUUCCAAGGACCUUGGCUCUCCUCUAUGCACAGCACUCUGGGGAAUUCCUACAGAUGCACAAUUGAGAGCAUCCUGUCGGGCUGAAUCACCGCCUGGUACGGCAACUGCACCA
Molecule: non-coding RNA, 608 nt
Organism: Oncorhynchus mykiss (rainbow trout)
Lineage: Eukaryota; Metazoa; Chordata; Actinopteri; Salmoniformes; Salmonidae
Source: RefSeq, a predicted model, not a curated record